CCAAUCAGCUUAGUCGCUGAUUACUUGACUAGUGAAUACAUAGCUAGCAAGAGGUAGACGCAGUGAACUGAAACAUCUUAGUAGCUGCAGGAAGAGAAAGAAACAUCGAUUCCCUGAGUAGCGGCGAGCGAAAAGGGAAGAGCCCAAACCAACRAGCUUGCUUGUUGGGGUUGUAGGACUGAACUUUAGAGUUACCAAAGUGCGACGUAGUCGCAACAGUUGGGAAGCUGUGCCAUAGAGGGUGAAAGCCCCGUAGACGAAACGUCACACUCUCUGUUCAGGAUCCUGAGUACGGCGGGACACGUGAAACCCCGUCGGAACCCGCGAGGACCAUCUCGCAAGGCUAAAUACUCCCUAGUGACCGAUAGUGAACCAGUACCGUGAGGGAAAGGUGAAAAGCACCCCGGAAGGGGAGUGAAAUAGUUCCUGAAACCAUGUGCCUACAAGCUGUCGGAGCCCGUUAAUGGGUGACGGCGUGCCUCUUGCAGAAUGAACCGGCGAGUUACGAUUGCAUGCAAGGUUAAGGUGGAAAAACCGGAGCCGUAGCGAAAGCGAGUCUUAAAUGGGCGUAAGAAGUAUGUAGUUGUAGACCCGAAACCAGGUGACCUACCCAUGUCCAGGUUGAAGGUGCGGUAAAGCGCACUGGAGGACCGAACCCGUGUCAGUUGAAAAUGGCUGGGAUGAGGUGUGGGUAGCGGUGAAAUUCCAAACGAACUUGGAGAUAGCUGGUUCUCUCCGAAAUCUCUUUAGGGGGAGCCUUGAGGUAAAGAA
This 771-nucleotide ribosomal RNA is filed under the name Limosilactobacillus reuteri. RNAcentral's name for it is "bacterial LSU rRNA". It matches the Rfam family "Bacterial large subunit ribosomal RNA", at positions 128 to 895 of the family's 2925-position model. The record is from RNAcentral. Lineage: Bacteria; Bacillati; Bacillota; Bacilli; Lactobacillales; Lactobacillaceae.